AGGAGAGUUUGAUCCUGGCUCAGGAUGAACGCUGGCGGCGUGCUUAACACAUGCAAGUCGAACGGAGUUUAAGAAGGAAGCUUGCUUUCAUUUUAAACUUAGUGGCGGACGGGUGAGUAACGCGUGAGGAACCUGCCCUUCAGUGGGGAACAACAACUAGAAAUGGUUGCUAAUACCGCAUAAUGUCGGAAAGCCGCAUGACAUUCCGACCAAAGGAUUUAUUCGCUGAAGGAUGGCCUCGCGUCCGAUUAGAUAGUUGGUGAGGUAACGGCCCACCAAGUCUACGAUCGGUAGCCGAACUGAGAGGUUGAUCGGCCACAUUGGGACUGAGACACGGCCCAGACUCCUACGGGAGGCAGCAGUGGGGAAUAUUGGGCAAUGGGCGAAAGCCUGACCCAGCAACGCCGCGUGAAGGAUGACGGUCUUCGGAUUGUAAACUUCUUUAAUUGGGGAAGAACAAAAUGACCUACCCAAAGAAUAAGUCACGGCUAACUACGUGCCAGCAGCCGCGGUAAUACGUAGGUGACAAGCGUUAUCCGGAUUUACUGGGCGUAAAGGGCGUGUAGGCGGUCUUGCAAGUCAGAAGUGAAAUUCCUGAGCUCAACUCGGGCGCUGCUUCUGAAACUGCAGGACUUGAGUGCUGGAGGGGAUAGCGGAAUUCCUAGUGGAGCGGUAAAAUGCGCAGAUAUUAGGAAGAACACCGGUGGCGAAGGCGGCUAUCUGGACAGUAACUGACGCUGAGGCGCGAAAGCGUGGGGAGCAAACAGGAUUAGAUACCCUGGUAGUCCCCU
RNAcentral lists this ribosomal RNA (791 nucleotides) under uncultured Bacillota bacterium. RNAcentral describes it as "bacterial SSU rRNA". It matches the Rfam family "Bacterial small subunit ribosomal RNA", at positions 1 to 799 of the family's 1533-position model. The record is from RNAcentral. Lineage: Bacteria; Bacillati; Bacillota.